UACGUAGGGUCCGAGCGUUGUCCGGAAUUACUGGGCGUAAAGCGCGCGCAGGCGGCCCGCGAGGUGUCACGUGAAAGCCCCGGGCUCAACCCGGGAGGGUCGUGGCAAACCGGCGGGCUUGAGGCCAGUAGAGGUGGGUGGAACUCCUGGUGGAGUGGUGAAAUGCGUAGAGAUCAGGAAGAACACCCGUGGCGAAGGCGGCCCACUGGGCCGGUACUGACGCUGAGGCGCGAAAGCGUGGGUAGCAAACAGG
RNAcentral lists this ribosomal RNA (253 nucleotides) under uncultured bacterium. Its description in RNAcentral is "partial 16S ribosomal RNA". It matches the Rfam family "Bacterial small subunit ribosomal RNA", at positions 524 to 776 of the family's 1533-position model. The record is from RNAcentral.